CCUUACACUCACAAAAACAUUUUUAUUUUGCGCUGCACAUGUUAACCCUGACGCCAUUCCUCAUACCCCCAUUAAAUAAAUGGACUUUGGAUUCCAAACUCAGUCCAAAUGGCUACAGAGUGAACAAUUUAGUCACCACGGCUGUUGAACAUUAUAAAGAGAUAGCCCCUUCGAUCUCCUUCUAAUCUAAAAAAUUCAUUCCAAGCGUAGUUUUCAUAUAACUGGAGGACAGUUGUUUGAGGAGGGGAGGAGGAUUGGAAACAGUUUGUUUUCUCUUCCCUCGUUCCUCUCAGUGGAUUCAGUGGAUAAAGAGCAGGCACACAUUACAAUAAACAUUUUUAUGGUCCCCAACAUUAGGCAUAUAAAUCCUACCUGUCUUCACACACUUACACACUAAAACUCCCACAGAAAGGGGGAAAAUUAGAAAAGGGGUGAUAUAAUUUGACUCUGUGUCACCACCCAAAUCUCAUCUUGAAUUGUAAUCCCCGUAAUUUCUCACCUGGCAAGAGUGGGACCAGGUGGAGACAAUUGGAUCAUGGGGGCAGUUUUCCCCAUGCUCUUCUCGUGAUAAUGAUUGAGUCUCAUGGGAUCUGAUGAUUCUAUAAGUGUCUGGCUUUUCUCCUACUUGCACUCACUCCAUCCUGCCACCCUGCGAGGAAGGUGCCUGCUUCUUCUUUGCCUUCCGCCGUGAGUGUGAGUCUCCUGAGGCCUCCCCAGCAAUGUGGAACUGAUACGUCAUGGAACAGAGGGCAACCUGCCUCCUGGAAAUGUGGAGUGUCUAGGGAGUCACAGCUGAGAUCUUCCUUGGAUUAAAGGCUGCGGGUGUCACAAACAGAUUCAACUGGGUGAAAUAACUGUGAACUGGGCAUGUGAAGAGAAAGCUGAAAGCCAUGAUCUCAAGAUGGAAACUUCAGUAUCCAGCAAAGAAAUGGUGAAGGCGUUCGUUAUGUGGGAUAUGCUGUUACCACUGAACUUGAAGUUAUCAAAGAAGUUCUAUUCUUAACCCUUAAUCUGCUCAGGAUGCUGUAACAACACCAUAAACUUUCAAACAACUCUAUUUCCUACGGUUCUGGAGGCUGGAAGUCCACAAUCAAAGUGUCAUGUUGUCAGGUUGUGGUGAGGGCCCUCUUUUGGGUGUAGAUUGCUAACUUUUCUGUAUGUGUUCACAUGGCAGAAAGAGAUUGAGCUAGCUCUUGGAUCCUUUCUUAUAAGGGCACCAAUCCCAAUACAGAGGCUUCACUCUCAUGACAUAAUUGUCUCCCAAAGACUCUACCUCCAAAUAUUAUCAAUCACAUUAGGGGAUAGAUUUUAACACAUGAUUUUGGGGGGAACACAUUCAGUCCAUAACAUUUCUUGAGUCUUCUUCUAGGACCCAUAGGUUAUUUUAAAAGUGGCUUGUUCAGUUCCAAGUGUUUGAAGAUUUUUUUUUUCUGUUAUCUUUAACUUACUGAUUUCUAGAUAGACCCCAUUGUGCUCAGAGAACACUCCUUAUGUGAUUUCAAUUAUUUUAAAUUUGUUGAGAUUUUAUGACUUAGUAUGUCAUCUGUCUUGGUGUGUAUUCUGUGGGGGGGAUGGGGGGUGCUUGAAAAACGGGUAUUCUGCUAUUAUAGAAUGUCAAAAUAUCAACUGUAAUAAACAAGAAAAAUAAUCCUAGUCUUUUAUUUAAGGGCCCUCUUUAGUCCAUCUCAACAGACCCUUCUCCGAAGGGGAAAGAAAUGCAGCUCACAAGAGCCCAUUAAACAACUAAAACAAGACAAAAUAAAACAACUACCCCCUGCCAAUUUGCACACUGUUACUUCUUUUGUUUUCCCAAUCUUAUUUCUUCUUCUUUUUUAUAAUAAAAAAUUUCAAAGCAAUUAUCUGCUUUCUUACUUCCCCUUGACUUUGCCUAUGUUUAGUUUUACUUUCUAUGAUUGGCCAUCAACAAUUAGGCACAAACCAUUCUGAACUUCCUCUUCACACUUACUCAAGUGGGAAAGCUGCUGUUUACAAAGUUGCAAACUAGAAAGUGCUAAAUUGAUGUUGUACAUUUGCAAGCAUUCACGUUGAAAAAAAGAUGCAAAAGAAGACAGGUGAGACAUCUUGGGAAGUGAUGUGAGAGCAAUUAUUCUUUUUAAAAUGUUUUGUCUGUAUAUAGUGUGUACACCAUCACUCACAGCUUGUCUUCUCUGAAUGUGAGUUCUGACAUCCUGUGGGUUGCUGUGCCACUUAAUUACAGUGAAUAAUGAAGAGAUUUUAAAGCCAUACUGUCACAGUUAAUAGGCUGAAUAAUUAAAGUAAUAGGAGAGUUGGUUUUCCUUAUGCACAAUCCGUUUGGUCUUCUAACACCAUUGUUUAGAUUUUGCUACAAAAUGAUUUACUUCAUCAGAAUUUACUGCUGCAUUAUUUUAGAAGCCUGACUUUACCAUUGUGUUAAGCACAAGGACUAUAUGAAGAAUUAACCUUUAUGAAUUCCCUGGAAAUAACAUAUUAAGGCAUAUAGUUAUAGCUUUAUGCUUCCCUUGACCCUCCUCUCCUUACCCUCUUCAUUGGGAUUGGAGUGAGCAAUUUAUUAGUCUGAAGCAAUAUGCAGUUGAUAAUGCAUUCAUUGA
Molecule: long non-coding RNA, 2591 nt
Filed under: Homo sapiens (human)
Lineage: Eukaryota; Metazoa; Chordata; Mammalia; Primates; Hominidae
Description: HSALNT0300680
Source: RNAcentral